GAACGCUGGCGGCGUGCCUAAUACAUGCAAGUCGAGCGAACGGACGAGAAGCUUGCUUCUCUGAUGUUAGCGGCGGACGGGUGAGUAACACGUGGAUAACCUACCUAUAAGACUGGGAUAACUUCGGGAAACCGGAGCUAAUACCGGAUAAUAUUUUGAACCGCAUGGUUCAAAAGUGAAAGACGGUCUUGCUGUCACUUAUAGAUGGAUCCGCGCUGCAUUAGCUAGUUGGUAAGGUAACGGCUUACCAAGGCAACGAUGCAUAGCCGACCUGAGAGGGUGAUCGGCCACACUGGAACUGAGACACGGUCCAGACUCCUACGGGAGGCAGCAGUAGGGAAUCUUCCGCAAUGGGCGAAAGCCUGACGGAGCAACGCCGCGUGAGUGAUGAAGGUCUUCGGAUCGUAAAACUCUGUUAUUAGGGAAGAACAUAUGUGUAAGUAACUGUGCACAUCUUGACGGCACCUAAUCAGAAAGCCACGGCUAACUACGUG
This 494-nucleotide ribosomal RNA is filed under the name uncultured bacterium. RNAcentral describes it as "partial 16S ribosomal RNA". It matches the Rfam family "Bacterial small subunit ribosomal RNA", at positions 31 to 507 of the family's 1533-position model. The record is from RNAcentral.